UGGGGAAUAUUGGACAAUGGGGGCAACCCUGAUCCAGCAAUUCUGUGUGCACGAAGAAGGUUUUCGGAUCGUAAAGUGCUUUCAGCAGGGAGGAAGAAAGUGACUGUACCUGCAGAAGAAGCGACGGCUAAAUACGUGCCAGCAGCCGCGGUAAUACGUAUGUCGCGAGCGUUAUCCGGAAUUAUUGGGCAUAAAGGGCAUCUAGGCGGCCAGAUAAGUCCGAGGUGAAAACUGCCGGCUCAACCAGCAGCUUGCCUUGGAAACUACCUGGCUAGAGUAUUGGAGAGGUGGACGGAACUACACGAGUAGAGGUGAAAUUCGUAGAUAUGUGUAGGAAUGCCGAUGAUGAAGAUAGUUCACUGGACGAUAACUGACGCUGAAGUGCGAAAGCUAGGGGAGCGAACA
RNAcentral lists this ribosomal RNA (405 nucleotides) under uncultured Leptotrichia sp. Its description in RNAcentral is "bacterial SSU rRNA". It matches the Rfam family "Bacterial small subunit ribosomal RNA", at positions 355 to 774 of the family's 1533-position model. The record is from RNAcentral. Lineage: Bacteria; Fusobacteriati; Fusobacteriota; Fusobacteriia; Fusobacteriales; Leptotrichiaceae.